This 372-nucleotide unclassified non-coding RNA is filed under the name uncultured bacterium. RNAcentral describes it as "contains 16S-23S intergenic spacer region". The record is from RNAcentral.
UCCGGCUUAUCACCGGCAGUUUCUUUAGAGUGCCCAACUAAAUGGUAGCAACUAAAGACGAGGGUUGCGCUCGUUGCGGGACUUAACCCAACAUCUCACGACACGAGCUGACGACAGCCAUGCAGCACCUGUGUAGGCUGGUAUUGCUACCUCGUUACCCUUUCAGGCCUCUACUACCUACAUGUCAAGGCCAGGUAAGGUUCUUCGCGUUGCAUCGAAUUAAGCCACAUACUCCACCGCUUGUGCAGGCCCCCGUCAAUUCCUUUGAGUUUUAGCCUUGCGGCCGUACUCCCCAGGCGGGGCGCUUAAUGCGUUAGCUGCGGCACGGAGAACGUGGAAGGUUCCCCACACCUAGCGCCCAACGUUUACGGC